UUUUGGCAGCAGUCCAAGUGAAUUUAGAAGAUCAGCUACGUCAACCUUGCUUGCCCGGUUCGCUGAACGAAGCCUGAGGACUUGAUUGCUCGGUCCAUCUAAGUCCCUCUCUCUGCUCUCAACUCUUUCGGUGUUUAUAUUUGUAACUUAGCUUUGGAAAUCGACAUGGCUAACAAUGGAGGACGCGAAGAAGGUGAAAUAAGGACAAAGUUGGAAUUGUAUAAAGCUGCGAUAAGUGGUGAUUGGGAGAAGGCUAUGGGCAUCAAACCAAUAACAGCAGUGAUCAAUAAGCGUGGAGAGACAGCUCUCCAUGUUGCAACUGCAGCAAACCACACCCAUUUUGUGGAAAAGCUUGUUGAUAUGAUUGCUGAAGAAAAUGCAGAGUAUUUAGCUAUUACAACUAAACCCCCGAUUGCACCUCAAGCUUCAUGUGAUAAACCCCCAAUUGCACCUCAAGCUUCAUCUCUAAGUGAUGCCAUGGCUUCAGCCGCAACAGCAUUCAAAAUAGCAGCGGACCCAACCAUAGGUCCCAAAGCAACUGCAGCCACAUUGGCACCUGCAACCGGAAACGCAAAUGCAAGUCGACAAGAAAAUACCAAACUCAAAGCCAAAGUAACAAUCGCGGACCCAAUCCAAGAUGCAGCUGCAGCUGCAGCUGCAGCCCCGCAACCACGGGACCGAGUCCCACAAUCA
This 693-nucleotide unclassified non-coding RNA is filed under the name Hevea brasiliensis (rubber tree). Lineage: Eukaryota; Viridiplantae; Streptophyta; Magnoliopsida; Malpighiales; Euphorbiaceae. The record is from RNAcentral.